CAACAUUAUUUGAUAAGAACAGUUUAACGGCGAUUCGUAAAUACAUUUACGCCCUGUUUUCAGUGCAAUUCAUAUGUACCCAACCUUCUACUUGUGAUAUUGAACCUUGUGGUACAAUUUCAGAGCAAUCACAAUACUUAUACACAAGUUAUUGUCCUGAAACUAGAAAAAUGCUUGUUUUGGGCCCCUAAUUCCUAAACGGUUGGGACCAUCACCCCCAAAAACAAUCCCAACCUUCCUUUUGUGGUAUUGAACCUUCCAUACAAAUAAACUAAAGUUAUUGUUCGGAAACCAAAUGUCUUCGGACACAAUACGACCCCAAUUUUUUUUUGCGGUCGUAUACAAAUGACUAUAGCACAAUAUCACAAUGGCGGGAUGUAUAAGUACCGAUCAACGCCAAAAGAUUAUUACUAAAAUUGACUACACUUUAUAUUUCCAUCAACUGCAAAGGACUGCAUAUUUAUUUAUAGCAGCUCAAAAACAGGGUCCAGAAAGGGAUGGCAGACAUGAGAUCCAUUAAAACUGAGGGAAAAUAGAAACGAAAAAAGUACAUAUAAAUAAGAAGAUGUUGUAUGAGUGCCAAUGAGACAACCCUCCAUCCAAGUCACAAUGUAUAAAAAGUUAACAAUUAUAGGUCAGAGUACGGUCUUCAACAAGUAGCCUUGGCUCCAACGAACAGCAAACAAAAGGGCCCCAAAAUGACUAGUGUAAAACAAUUCAAACAGGAAAACCAACGGUUUAAUCUAUAUAUAUAUAUAUAAACGAGAAACGAAAAAUACCUAUGAACCACACCAACGCACGACAACCACUGAACAACAAGCUCCUGAUUAUCUAUAACAUCUCAGAAAACUUCACUCAAUAUAUUAUAAAACAAAUGUUUUAAAGAUGAUUGGUAUGUAAUCUUAAAAUUUACCCAAAUUAUGUUUUAAUAAAAUAACGUGUUUCUCGG
This 949-nucleotide long non-coding RNA is filed under the name Mytilus galloprovincialis (Mediterranean mussel). Lineage: Eukaryota; Metazoa; Mollusca; Bivalvia; Mytilida; Mytilidae. The record is from RNAcentral.